Humulus lupulus (European hop) is the source of this 1813-nucleotide RNA transcript. It is a transcript of the gene named protein DETOXIFICATION 43-like, with no coding region annotated. The transcript has 11 exons. The record is from RefSeq and is a predicted model, not a curated record. NCBI's taxonomy places the organism in Eukaryota, Viridiplantae, Streptophyta, Magnoliopsida, Rosales, Cannabaceae.
UGCCUCUUCCCUCCCUAAAGUCGAGCCCAGAUGCCUCUUCUUCCCUAAAGCUGAGCCAAGAUGAUCUCCUAGCUUGAACCCAAACCGGCGUUCAACUCAACUCCAUUCUUGAACCCAACGUCGAGCCCGUUCACAUCUGGAUUCUUGCUAAUAGACAAUCUGUUGCGCGGUCUAAAAAGUCGAAGAUUCGCUAUACCAAUGAGCUAGAGAGGAAGGUCCAGACCCUUCAAACUGAAGCCACCACCCAUUCUGCGCAGGUUGCAUUGCUCCAGAGGGAUACUACUGGGUUAACUACUGAGAAUAAGGAGCUCAAAAUGCAGUUACAGGCUAUGGAGCAACAAGCACAACUCAGAGAGGGAAUGAAUCCAUGUUGCUAUUUUCUGAGAGAAAUUAUGGACUAUUCAAGGCUGAUGGCACCAUUUCAUAUGACAUUGGGUUUCAUGGACUUGAUUCUUCAUCUGCAGAUUCAUUAUGUUUAUCCCCGAAGGACUCUCCUAUGCUAGCCCCAGCAGAGAAGUACUUAGUCACAAGAGCAUUUGGUGCUCCAGCAGUUCUUCUAACCUUGGCUAUGCAGGGUAUCUUCAGAGGGUUUAAGGAUACAACUACACCUUUAUAUGUCAUAUUGUUGGGAUAUUCAUUGAAUGUUGCCCUUGACCCUCUCCUGAUCUUUGUCUGCCACUUGGGAAUCAGAGGUGCAGCCAUUGCACAUGUUCUUUCUCAGAUGAAGGCCUUCACAAUUCAAGUAAAAUUGCUGCUUUCGAUUUUGAUGGAUGUCUUGCAAACACUUCUAUUAGAAGGUUAUCUUUACCAAUGAAUCAAACAUUGAGCGCUGGAAAAAUAAGAGACAAGUUGCCGUGGACUCAAAAAUUGGUCGCCUAAACAAAUUAAUGAGACAAUGAAAGUCCCAAUUCAGUUAUUGCAUGGGAAGAAAAGUAAAGCACGGGGUCCCUGAAGAUUGAGUCUGUGAAUUUGGGAAGAGAGAUGAAGCUGUCACAAUAGUAAUGAGCAAGGGGCAAUUGUCAAUUUCCCAGCUUCAUUCCAAGAAGAAAAAGCCAGUAGAAACUGGUAAAGUUAAGUUCAUUCCUCAUGAAGAAAUCCUUAAGCUAUCUUCAGAGACCUUCAACGAGUCAAGAGAAAUAACUCGAACAAAAUGACAGCAUGUAUCUAGCAAAGUUGGAAUUUCAAAUAAAAAGAAAGAGAAGAAACUAGUUAAAGAACCAUGCACAUUGUUGCCAUCAUCACUUGAUGUUAGUGCAGUGUUUCUUAGUCCUCCUCCAAGCAGAAGGUGGUGUCUCGAAACAGUACAGAGUCAGAGUUCAGCGAUCUUGCUAAUGUUGUAGUCGAGCUCACUUGGUACAAAAUUCUGUUUGUUGAUCUCAAUAUUGCCUUGUCUUCUACACUAUGAUCUGGUGUGAUAAUGUCUCUGCUGCCCAACUCGCCUCAAAUCCAAUCUUUCAUGCUCCCACAAAGCACAUCGAGAAUGAUUUCCAUUUUAUAAGGGACAUGGUCACAAGAAGGAGCUUUCAAUCAGGUAUGUUCAAUCUGAAUAUCAAGUGGCAGACAUUCUCACCAAACACCUCCUUGUAGUUCAGUUCAAAAGCCUUUGUCACAAAUUGACUGUCCUGUCCAGGCCACCCAAUUUGAGGGGGCUGUUAAAGAACCUAUUAGUAGUUAGUUAUUUAGUUAGCACAGUAUUAACUACUUUUACUCUCUGUUAGUCUGUUACUUUUUUGGUCAGUUGACUAAGUCUUUUCUUGUUAUGUUACUAUCUACCUAACUCAGCUCUUAUAAAUAAAGGCUUGCUCAUCUGAUC